AUUGAACGCUGGCGGCAUGCCUUACACAUGCAAGUCGUACGGCAGCACGGGAGCAAUCCUGGUGGCGAGUGGCGAACGGGUGAGUAAUGUAUCGGAACGUGCCCAGUCGUGGGGGAUAAUGCAGCGAAAGCUGUGCUAAUACCGCAUACGAUCUAUGGAUGAAAGCGGGGGAUCGCAAGACCUCGCGCCAUUGGAGCGGCCGAUAUCAGAUUAGCUAGUUGGUGGGGUAAAAGCUUACCAAGGCGACGAUCUGUAGCUGGUCUGAGAGGACGACCAGCCACACUGGAGCUGAGACACGGUCCAGACUCCUACAGGAGGCAGCAGUGGGGAAUUUUGGACAAUGGGCGCAAGCCUGAUCCAGCAAUACCGCGUGCAGGAUGAAGGCCUUCGGGUUGUAAACUGCUUUUGUACGGAGCGAAAAGGCUUUCUCUAAUACAGGGGGCUCAUGACGGUACCGUAAGAAUAAGCACCGGCUAACUACGUGCCAGCCGCCGCAGUAA
Molecule: ribosomal RNA, 500 nt
Filed under: uncultured bacterium
Lineage: Bacteria
Description: partial 16S ribosomal RNA
Rfam family: Bacterial small subunit ribosomal RNA
Source: RNAcentral